RNAcentral lists this ribosomal RNA (483 nucleotides) under uncultured bacterium. RNAcentral's name for it is "partial 16S ribosomal RNA". It matches the Rfam family "Bacterial small subunit ribosomal RNA", at positions 28 to 523 of the family's 1533-position model. The record is from RNAcentral.
GACGAACGCUGGCGGCGUGCUUAACACAUGCAAGUCGAACGAUGAAGCCGGAGCUUGCUCCGGUGGAUUAGUGGCGAACGGGUGAGUAACACGUGAGCAAUCUGCCCUUGACGCUGGGAGAAUGGCGGGAAACUGUAGCUAAUACCGGGUACGACACCUUGGGGCAUCGCAGGGUGUGGAAAGAAUUUGGGUGAAGGCUGAGCUCGGGGACUAUCAGCUAGCUGGGGAGGUAAUGGCAUACUAAGGAGACGACGGGUAGCCGGCCUGAGAGGGUGACCGGCCACAAUGGAACUGAGACACGCACCAGACUCCUACGGGGGGCAGCAGGGGGAAACAUUGCACAAUGGGCGAAAGCCUGAUGCAGCAACGCCGCGUGAGGGAUGAAGGCCUUCGGGUUGUAAACCUCUUUUAGCAGGGAAGAAGCGAAAGUGACGGUACCUGCAGAAAAAGCACCGGCUAACUACGUGCCAGCAGCCGCCGUAA